UGGAGCUGUCCCUCCCUCCAGUCCAAUAUAAACUCUUCCUCGUCUCUUCCUUGUCUCUUCCGCUCCACCCCCUCCCCCUCUACUUCUCUGCUCCUUUCGUUUUUCGCCGAAUCGAUAACCGUAUUUUUCCGAUGGAGAAUACUUUGAAGCCAAUGGACGCGGAGCAGCUGAGGGAGUACGGCCAUAAGAUGGUUGAUUUCAUCGCCGAUUACUACAAAAGCAUCGAGUCCUUUCCGGUUCUCAGCCAAGUCAAGCCUGGAUAUCUUAAGGAGCUUCUGCCAGAUUCAGCUCCUAAUCAUCCUGAAAGUUUGCAAGAUGUCUUUGAGGAUAUCCGUCAGAAGAUAAUACCAGGCAUAACCCAUUGGCAGAGCCCUGAAUAUUUUGCCUACUAUCCCUCUAAUAGCAGCACAGCUGGAUUCUUAGGAGAGAUGCUCAGUGCUGGUUUUAAUAUUGUGGGUUUCAGUUGGGUCACCUCUCCAGCUGCAACAGAACUUGAAGUGAUUGUUUUAGAUUGGCUCGCUAAAAUGCUGAAGCUGCCUGACCAGUUCUUUUCAGCAGGGCAGGGUGGGGGAGUAAUCCAAGGUACAGCUAGUGAAGCAGUUCUUGUUGUCUUGUUGGCUGCCCGUGAUAAAAUUUUGAGGAAGGUUGGGAAAAAGUCUCUUGAAAAAUUGGUAGUUUAUGCUUCUGAUCAAACACACUCUGCUCUGCAAAAGGCAUGCCAGAUUGCAGGGAUUGUUCAGGACAACUUUAGAGUGCUGAAGGCUGAUAGAAAUUCAAACUAUUCUCUUUGUCCUGAAGUAGCUUUGGAAGCAAUCUCUAAUGACUUAUCAGCAGGCUUGAUACCAUUUUUCCUUUGUGCUACAGUUGGCACUACGUCUUCAGCGGCUGUGGAUCCUUUGUCUGAGUUAGGUAAGUUAUCCAAGGCCUAUGGCAUGUGGUUCCAUGUUGAUGCUGCAUAUGCUGGCAGUGCAUGUAUUUGUCCAGAGUACCGUCAUUAUAUUGAUGGUGUGGAAGAAGCAGAUUCAUUUGGCAUGAAUGCACACAAAUGGUUUCUUACAAAUUUUGACUGUUCAUUGCUCUGGGUAAAGGACCAACGACCAUUGGUUCAAUCACUGUCGACUAAUCCUGAGUUUCUGAAAAACAAGGCCUCCCAAGAAAAUGCUGUUGUGGAUUUCAAAGAUUGGCAAAUUCCUCUUGGACGCCGUUUCAGAUCAUUAAAGCUGUGGAUGGUUUUGAGGCUAUAUGGUUUGGAGAACCUACAAAGCUACAUUAGGAAUCACAUAAAUCUGGCCGAACAAUUUGAACAACUAAUCAAAACUGAUUCUCGGUUUGAGGUAUGGCAGAUGACAUCUUGGAUACAGGAUGAUAUUUUUCCAAGGUUAUGAUCAGUUUCAAUGUUACUUUUGACUGUGAGAUUGACAUAUGGAAUGCAUUUGAAAGAGAAGUGAAACACUUCAUCCCAACAUUUCCACUGAAAUGAAGACCCAGCAGGUGGCUCUUGUGGCCCACUACUUUUUCACCCUUCAACUUUUAAGGGCUCUUCUAGAGGAAGUAGGCGCGGCUUUGGUAGUUAGAUGUUUCUUGAUCUUGUGAGCUGACAUUCUAGUUAAGAAAUGCAUGUCUGUGUAUGUUUUUGUUUGUGCUUUGUGUUAUAUCUUUCACAACUUACAGGUACAAGAAUGCUUCUCCCUAGACAUAUACAUUACAUAACUUCAAAACUAUUACCAUGAAGAACUUCAUGCCUAGUCCAGCAGAUCCUAGCUUACUAACAAUUCAUGAUAAUACUACUUCUGUUGUUAUGUUGCUGAAAGUAUCCAAAAUUCCAAAUACUUAUUCAUAAUUCUCAUCCUCAUUAGUUAUGGUUUUCCAUCUCUUUAUAGACUCUUCAAAAAGAUUCUAGCACCUACCUAAGGUAUCUUUAGAUUUUAUUCUGCAUGGUGCAUUCAUAUGCCAUCUAACAUGGUUCUUUACCACCUUGUCCUCAAUUGAUGUAGCUUCUACUUUUCUACAAUACAUGUUUCUUGCUCCAACCUUCCUAACUUUCCACAUAUUCAUCUCAACAAAUUCAAACUUAUCAUGUUCACCUUAUUUGCUAGGGCUAUCUUUAUUCUAAAAAAUACCAUAAAAUACUUUGUCCUUGCCACUUGAUAAGUUUUUCCUUGAAGUUGUCAAGACAGCUAAAAAGUACCUCUUCAUCUUAUGGUCAUUUUGUUAGCUAUAACUUUGUUAUUCCACUCUUUUUAUAAUGUAUCUACAAUAACAAAAUUGUUCAUAUUUUGGCAUCUUUUGCUGCCAAUUUUUCUUGUGUUUCAUUUUCAAUUCCAUACACACUUAACUUCUUCAUCCACUUUGUUUUUACUCUACUAACUUCUGAACCUUUAUCCUUUAGGUUCUUGUAACAAAAUAUCAUAUACAAAGAACAUGAAUCUCAUCAAUCUUUUGACAUAAUAGGGAUAAGUUAUUUUAUGAAUAACAAGUGAGGGCCUGAGCUAGUAAGUUAGUCCCAUAUUGGUUGUGUUUUGAGGAGAUCUUGGGUACUUAUACAAGGCCAAGAAACCCAAAUAGAACAUUUGUGCUAGCGUUUUUCGAUGAGGUCCUAGUUUGGUACAAAUGGUAUCAAAGUGAACCCGGUCCAUGGCCGAUAUGUGACUAGGGGAUAUUGUAGCACGGGGUCCUAUUAGGGAUGACCACGGGCCAAUGGUGGUGUUUGUGACUGGAUUUGAUUGAAUUUGAACCUUUAGUUUAGCGAGGAAGUGGAAGUAUGUAAGGACCUAUGCGAGCGUGUUUCUUAGUGCCAUAUUGGUUGUGAGCUUAGGAGAACUUGGGUACUUAUACAAUGCCAAGGAACUCAAAUAAAAUCUUUUGGUUAGUCUUUUUAACAUAACAUGUGGUGCGGACACCAGUGCCAGAUCGCCUGUCACUCGAGUCUACAGUCGCCGCAGGAGAAUGGUUCUGCCAGUUUCAUUGUGGGUGGAGUGAAUUUAUUUUAUUUGGGCUUAUUAGGGUAUUUUGUUAUUUGAUAACUUUUAGGGUUUAUUUAAAUAUUUCAUUAUUUUGAGGGUCUUUUGUGAGACCAGUUUCUUUUUAGGAGGUCUUUUGCAUUUUUUGGGUUUUAUAAAUAUAUUGGACCGUACAUGUUUAGGGUAUGCUAUGAAUAAAAAUUCUGAAUUCCUUUCUUUAGCACUGGCGUGUGAAACCCUGAGCGGGGCUAGAUGCGAAGCGUAGUUCUUCUUCCUCUUCCUUCCUCCUCUCCUUUCUUCCCUAUUUUUCCUUCUUUUCGUUCUCUCUUUCUUUCUUUCCCUGCUGUCCGGCAUCAACAUGAACAUAAAUGAGCUUAAGUUUAACCCGUUAUAUAAUCAUGUGAUCUCUGGAUACUCACCUCUUUAGAGCUAUCUUUGAUGCUUGUCAAUGUCUGAGUAUAUAUAUAUCCUGAAUGAUUUUGAAGUAUUUUCUAUAGUAUACACUUUCCAUAGUUUUUUUUUGGUGAGAAAAUAACUUUCAUUUUUUAUCUUUGUAGCAUCAAGCCUAGUAGUUUGCUAAAUUUGUUGACAUCCUUUUUUUCUUUUUUUUUUUUUUGCUUCACCACCAACCAUAACUUCAUAGCCUCCUCAUUAGUUUAAUUCUAAAGAAGUUUGUUCAAAUUUGGUGCCGGUUCUCUUCUUAUAGGUGGGUACAAAAAUACUUCCAUAGUCAUUUGUAAUGUCUGUGUAGCUUGAAGAUGAUUUGCUUUAUUCAAUGGAUGAUUAUCAUAUCAAGUUUGGUGAGAAAAGAGUGAAGCAAAAAAAUUGAAGAGAGGUAAUUGUUUUUCCUAUCUCUAAUGAACUACUCGAAUUGUUAGGUGAAAUAGAUUUUUAUGUUAUUAUUACUAUAAAAUUUAGUUCAAGUGUUAUAUUACAGUUACGAGGCAUUUAAGUAUUCCAUUGUGCACCUCUAGGAAAUAUAACACCAAGACACAUGUUCAAUAUGAAGAUAUAGACAAAUUUUUGAUGUUGGAUACAAAGUUAACUACUUAAUAGUUAAUAUUGCUAAACCUAAUUUCCUACAAUAUUAUAUUAUCCUGCACAAAAUGUUAUGGUGUUUCUGUAGCGUUAUAUCUGUAAUGGAGCACAAGCUCUUUUCAACUUAUUGACAUUAAUUAUUCUAAAGCAAUUUGGCACAAAUAUUGGCCAAUUGAUUUACUGUAUAAUCAAGGUUUGCCGUACCGACUGUACCGAUAUAUCGGUGCGGUCCGAUACUGGUACGGUACUAGUACCAAACUGAGCCGAACCAGUACUAUACUAAAAGUGCCACAGCGCUGUCUUCCAUGAAGAAUACCCCGUACCGGUGCAAACCGGCUCGGCUGGCACCGAUACGGAUAUGCACCGGUGCGAACCGACCAGUAUGGGUAUGUAUUGGUGCGAACCGAGCCGGUUUGCACCGGUACAGGCCAUGAACCGAUCGAUUCCGACCCAGAUUGGGUUGGAACCGAUUUCAAUAGCCGUACCGUACCGGUGCUUGUCGGUACUGAUACGGUAUGGGCUGAACCGACUGGUACAGUAAUACAAUCAUGAUGUGCUGAACCAACCGGUAUCGGUCGGUUCAGCAGACCAUGAUUGUAUUACUAUAAAAUUUUUGUUAGCGGUCGGUUCAACAGACCAUGACUGUAUUACUAUAAAUUUUUUGCAUCCCUGCCUUUUUUUUGUUUUUUUUAUAUAAAGCAUUAAUCAUGAUCAUAUCCUUUUCAUCUUCAUCUCCAUUUUUAUUUCUUCUCACUGAUAUGGUACGAUUACCGUCAUGGUUGUCUCUCUAGAAUAAACAAGGUUAUUUCUUUUAUUAACUUUUCUUUAAUUUUUUACUUUUUUAAUGACUUGCGAGCUUCAUAGUGGUCCAUAGUUAAUUGAAAAUAAGUAGCAUUUUCAUUUCUCACCCUUAUUUUUAUAAACAUACUAUAAUGCUUCUUGACGCUUUCAUUAUCCUAAUGUUCUUAUCGAAAGACUAGUUGAUCAAGUAUUUUUUUCCCCAUAAUAUGUGAAAGACAACAUUUUUCCUUGAUACAUUCUUUUCACAGGUUGUUGUUAUAUUAUAGUGUUCAUUGUCC
Phoenix dactylifera (date palm) is the source of this 5077-nucleotide non-coding RNA. The record is from RefSeq and is a predicted model, not a curated record. Lineage: Eukaryota; Viridiplantae; Streptophyta; Magnoliopsida; Arecales; Arecaceae.